CCACAACAACAAAAAAAACAGUCUCUGAACUUGCAUUGGGAGUUUGGUUGAAGUUGGAUGUAGUCCAGUUUUUUAUCUUAUGAUCGGACACUUGCAAGCAAGAUGGAUCAGACA
Etheostoma cragini (Arkansas darter) is the source of this 114-nucleotide long non-coding RNA. RefSeq lists it as uncharacterized. Lineage: Eukaryota; Metazoa; Chordata; Actinopteri; Perciformes; Percidae. The record is from RefSeq and is a predicted model, not a curated record. The transcript is spliced from 3 exons.